Molecule: ribosomal RNA, 492 nt
Filed under: uncultured bacterium
Lineage: Bacteria
Description: partial 16S ribosomal RNA
Rfam family: Bacterial small subunit ribosomal RNA
Source: RNAcentral
AGUGAACGCUGGCGGUAGGCCUAACACAUGCAAGUCGAACGGCAGCACAGUAAGAGCUUGCUCUUACGGGUGGCGAGUGGCGGACGGGUGAGGAAUACAUCGGAAUCUACUUUUUCGUGGGGGAUAACGUAGGGAAACUUACGCUAAUACCGCAUACGACCUACGGGUGAAAGCAGGGGAUCUUCGGACCUUGCGCGAUUGAAUGAGCCGAUGUCGGAUUAGCUAGUUGGCGGGGUAAAGGCCCACCAAGGCGACGAUCCGUAGCUGGUCUGAGAGGAUGAUAAGCAACACUGGAACUGAGACAGGGUCCAGACGCCUAAGGGAGGCAGCAGUGGGGAAUAUUAGACAAUGGGCGCAAGCCUGAUCCAGCCAUACCGCGUGGGUGAAGAAGGCGUUCGGGUUGUAAAGACCUUUUGUUGGGAAAGAAAAGCAGCAGGUUAAUACCCCGCUGUUCUGACGGUACCCAAAGAAUAAGCACCGGCUAACUUCGUG